This 261-nucleotide long non-coding RNA is filed under the name Lathyrus oleraceus (garden pea). RNAcentral's name for it is "Pisum sativum (pea) long non-coding RNA (PSAT_LNC012207)". The record is from RNAcentral. Lineage: Eukaryota; Viridiplantae; Streptophyta; Magnoliopsida; Fabales; Fabaceae.
AAACUUAUUUUCUUAAAUAAAACUUGUAAUUGAAUUUAACUAUACUUGACUUAAACUUUCAAAAAGCCAAAAAGAACUAACUCAUUCACACCAUUUUAGGCCUUUGUGCCUUUCAAACUUAAAUUUUGUUAAAAACCAACACACUUAUUUUGAAAUUUAUAGCAUGAACUACGAGGUUUUGAUCCCUCAUUUAUAUGUUGGUACGUAGGGACGAGACCGAAGGUCUUAUCAGACACAAAAAUAUAAUUAAUGAAUUCUUUU